GGAUGAACGCUAGCGGCAGGCCUAACACAUGCAAGUCGAGGGGUAACAGAGUAGCUUGCUACUGCUGACGACCGGCGCACGGGUGCGUAACGCGUAUAGAAUCUACCUUUUGCUGCAGGAUAGCCCAGAGAAAUUUGGAUUAAUACUGCAUAGUAUGCAUUAGCUUCAUGGCUUAUGUAUUAAAGGUUACGGCAAAAGAUGACUAUGCGUCCUAUUAGCUAGAUGGUAAGGUAACGGCUUACCAUGGCAACGAUAGGUAGGGGCCCUGAGAGGGGGAUCCCCCACACUGGUACUGAGACACGGACCAGACUCCUACGGGAGGCAGCAGUGAGGAAUAUUGGACAAUGGAGGCAACUCUGAUCCAGCCAUGCCGCGUGCAGGAUGACUGCCCUAUGGGUUGUAAACUGCUUUUAUACAGGAAGAAACAUCUCUACGUGUAGAGACUUGACGGUACUGUAAGAAUAAGGAUCGGCUAACUCCGUGCCAGCAGCCGCGGUAAUACGGAGGAUCCAAGCGUUAUCCGGAAUCAUUGGGUUUAAAGGGUCCGUAGGUGGAUAAUUAAGUCAGAGGUGAAAGUUUGCAGCUCAACUGUAAAAUUGCCUUUGAUACUGGUUAUCUUGAAUCAUUAUGAAGUGGUUAGAAUAUGUAGUGUAGCGGUGAAAUGCAUAGAUAUUACAUAGAAUACCAAUUGCGAAGGCAGAUCACUAAUAAUGUAUUGACACUGAUGGACGAAAGCGUGGGGAGCGAACAGGAUUAGAUACCCUGGUAGUCCACGCCGUAAACGAUGGAUACUAGCUGUUCGGAACUUGUUUCUGAGUGGCUAAGCGAAAGU
RNAcentral lists this ribosomal RNA (832 nucleotides) under uncultured Algibacter sp. RNAcentral describes it as "bacterial SSU rRNA". It matches the Rfam family "Bacterial small subunit ribosomal RNA", at positions 27 to 858 of the family's 1533-position model. Lineage: Bacteria; Pseudomonadati; Bacteroidota; Flavobacteriia; Flavobacteriales; Flavobacteriaceae. The record is from RNAcentral.